This is a long non-coding RNA of Nerophis ophidion (straightnose pipefish), 907 nucleotides long. RefSeq lists it as uncharacterized. The record is from RefSeq and is a predicted model, not a curated record. The transcript is spliced from 2 exons. NCBI's taxonomy places the organism in Eukaryota, Metazoa, Chordata, Actinopteri, Syngnathiformes, Syngnathidae.
ACCAUGUCUGAAACUGUUAAGUCAAUAAAGAAACGUGUUAAUUGAGAGCUACUGUGUUUUCUUUCCAGAUUAGUCGCCAAUAAAAACAACCAAUAUAAACAGAGGACGAGUUCAUAAACACUCACAAUAAUUGAGGAUCGGGGACUAGAUAUUGUCGGCAAACGACGCGUGCAGACGCCUAUAACGGGCAAUGUCAUUGGUUGAUGUCGUCAGCUGAUAGUAGAGCUAGCCAUUCUGGUGCCUUCACACAUUCUCAUAUUUUUUGCGGGAAUUCUCUGCCUUGUACUGAUAACUAGGUCAACGCAUAGACAAAAACCACGAGUCCCUAACCUCCCCUAUAAUUGUCUCCCCAGAUUUAAACGAUUCACAGAAAUGACCCUGGCGGCGCCAAAAUCGGCGGAAUUCCGCGGAAAAUUCCCAUCCCUGAAUAUAGACACUUAUAUCAUGUGUUACCGUCAUUACAACACUUAUAUAAGGCUUUUAACUUUUUGCGGCUCCAGAUAGAUUUUUUUUUUGUUGUAUUUUUGGUCCAAUAUGGAUCUUUCAACAUUUCGGGUUGCCGACCCCUGCCCUAGGGAAUAAUGGACAUGAUCUGUUCCAGGGUCAAACAGUUGCCAUCAUAAAAACGUUAUCUCUAUGCUAUGGAAACCGUGUUUGGCAGGCUUUUAGCAGACUGACCACAAAAUGUGUGUAUCUGUGUGUGUGGGGGGUGGCCUGAGGACCUGCAGCGAAGCGGGGUGUGCCAGGACCAGCUGCAAGAUCAGCAAAAGCAGCCGAAGAGGAGAGGGUUGUUGGAUUUGGAGCACAAGAGAGAGCGACAGCGAGAUUGACAGACACUGAAGAAAAUUGGGGAAAAGCACAACACAGACUAUUCUGGUUAAAUAAAACUGUUUAAAAACCCUGAAAA